UCAAAGAGUCCUACUCCCUGAGUCAGAAUCAUAUAUGCGCGCAAUGGCAAAGAGGACAACAACAGCAGCAUGGCUCCGAAGCCCUCGAACUGGUGCGGCGCAAAUCCUGAAGGUGUAGCCUGAGGAAGGACGUAGACAGAUUAUUUGGACUAGGGGAUACCGAGCGGACUUCAAUCAAAUAGUGAAUCAAACAACAUGUAUUCAUCUUCACAGAAAUUAUCUACUAAUUUGGGAAAACUGAUUAUAAAUGCACAUGAGUGAGGAACUCUUGCUCAAUUGAUCUACCAGCUUCAGCAUCCUCCUCUGAUGCCAUCUUCCAUCCUUUAUUCUCCUCUUUAACAGCUGUUACGUCAUCCAUCAUGAGACCCUCAACCUGAAGAAUGCAUCAAGCAAAGUUAUGAGUUUCGUACAUUAGAAAAACUACUAUAAUGAUGGCCUGACUGAAUUAAGUUUAGUGUUUUGACAGCAACCCAUACACAAAGAAUUAAGAAGUUUGUGAUUUAUUUACAAAGUAGCGACAACACGAUUUAUAUUAACCAUAAAUAGGAAGUUUUUAGGUUUCGAUAGGGCACCAUUAAGAAGCAAGCUCGACUGCUCGAGUUUGGCAACAACUAUUAAUAAAUUCAAAAAGCAAAGAAUACUGCAUCACACAAAGUGGUACUAGAACUUAUCAUCCACGUCUGUCAAACCGAAAAUAACAUUACCAAUUACAUAUUCUAGAAACAUUAGACAUAAAUUAUAUGAUGAUACUCAUAUUUAUCAGCCAAACUUCAAAUCCAAAUCAGUAUUCAACAUUGUUGGCUAUUGUGUAGUAGCAUGGUUCAGUUUAGCAGCUUCAGCUCACAGGAAAACUAAAUCUCCUUUUGGCUACUCUGUAGUAGCAUGGUUCAGUUUAGCCAUUUGACCAAAACAACUUUGAAUCAGUAUUGCUCAACCAGUUUGAACGACGUACCUAGAGCACGGGCGGACGUAAUUUUGGCGAAGUCAGCAGUAUGGAGACAUUCCGGCGAGGUUGGCAGAACGGCGA
RNAcentral lists this long non-coding RNA (1027 nucleotides) under Triticum aestivum (bread wheat). Its description in RNAcentral is "long non-coding RNA (TAES_LNC026005)". Lineage: Eukaryota; Viridiplantae; Streptophyta; Magnoliopsida; Poales; Poaceae. The record is from RNAcentral.